UACGGAGGGGGCUAGCGUUGUUCGGAAUUACUGGGCGUAAAGCGUACGUAGGCGGCUUUGUAAGUUAGAGGUGAAAGCCCGGAGCUCAACUCCGGAAUUGCCUUUAAGACUGCAUCGCUAGAAUCAUGGAGAGGUGAGUGGAAUUCCGAGUGUAGAGGUGAAAUUCGUAGAUAUUCGGAAGAACACCAGUGGCGAAGGCGACUCACUGGACAUGUAUUGACGCUGAGGUGCGAAAGCGUGGGGAGCAAACAGGAU
RNAcentral lists this ribosomal RNA (255 nucleotides) under uncultured bacterium. RNAcentral's name for it is "partial 16S ribosomal RNA". It matches the Rfam family "Bacterial small subunit ribosomal RNA", at positions 524 to 778 of the family's 1533-position model. The record is from RNAcentral.